GUGGGGAAUCUUGCGCAAUGGGCGAAAGCCUGACGCAGCCAUGCCGCGUGAAUGAUGAAGGUCUUAGGAUUGUAAAAUUCUUUCACCGGGGACGAUAAUGACGGUACCCGGAGAAGAAGCCCCGGCUAACUUCGUGCCAGCAGCCGCGGUAAUACGAAGGGGGCUAGCGUUGCUCGGAAUUACUGGGCGGAAAGGGCGCGUAGGCGGACAGUUUAGUCAGAGGUGAAAGCCCAGGGCUCAACCUUGGAAUUGCCUUUGAUACUGGCUGUCUUGAGUACGGGAGAGGUGAGUGGAACUCCGAGUGUAGAGGUGAAAUUCGUAGAUAUUCGGAAGAACACCAGUGGCGAAGGCGACUCACUGGCCCGUUACUGACGCUGAUGCGCGAAAGCGUGGGGAGCAAACAGGAUUAGAAACCCUUGUAGUCC
Molecule: ribosomal RNA, 425 nt
Filed under: uncultured bacterium
Lineage: Bacteria
Description: partial 16S ribosomal RNA
Rfam family: Bacterial small subunit ribosomal RNA
Source: RNAcentral